GACGAACGCUGGCGGCAUGCCUAAUACAUGCAAGUCGAGCGAACAGAUGAAGUGCUUGCACUUCUGACGUUAGCGGCUAACGGGUGAGUAACACGUAAGGAAUCUACCUAUAAGCGGGGGAUAACAUUCGGAAACGGGUGCUAAUACCGCAUAAUAUCUUCUUCCGCAUGGAAGAAGAUUGAAAGACGGCUCUGAUGUCACUUAUAGAUGACCUCGCGGGGCAUUAGUUAGUUGGUGGGGUAACGGCCUACCAAGACGAUGAUGCACAGCCGACCUGAGAGGGUGAUCGGCAACAUUGGGACUGAGACACGGCCCAAACUCCUACGGGAGGCAGCAGUAGGGAAUCUUCCGGAAUGGGCGAAAGCCUGACGGAGCAAUGCCGCGUGAGUGAAGAAGGCCUUCGGGUCGUAAAACUCUGUUAUAAGAGAAGAACAAAUUGUAGAGUAACUGCUACAGUCUUGACGGUAUCUUAUCAGAAAGCCACGGCUAACUACGGGCCAGCAGCCGCGGUAA
RNAcentral lists this ribosomal RNA (513 nucleotides) under uncultured bacterium. Its description in RNAcentral is "partial 16S ribosomal RNA". It matches the Rfam family "Bacterial small subunit ribosomal RNA", at positions 28 to 523 of the family's 1533-position model. The record is from RNAcentral.